RNAcentral lists this non-coding RNA (984 nucleotides) under Otus everetti. RNAcentral's name for it is "partial 12S ribosomal RNA". It matches the Rfam family "Bacterial small subunit ribosomal RNA". The record is from RNAcentral. Lineage: Eukaryota; Metazoa; Chordata; Aves; Strigiformes; Strigidae.
AAAGACUUAGUCCCAACCUUACAGUUAGUUCUUGCUAAACACAUACAUGCAAGUAUCAGCACCCCAGUGUAAAUGCCCCUCACUGUCCACCGCGGACAAGAAGGAGCAGGUAUCAGGCACACCUACCGUAGUAGCCCAAGACACCUUGCACCAGCCACACCCCCAAGGGUACUCAGGAGUAGUUAACAUUAAGCAAGGAGCGGAAGCUCGACUUAGUUAUAGCACUUCCCACCAGGGCCGUUAAAUCUUGUGCCAGCCACCGCGGUCACACAAGAGACCCAAACUAACCGUACACGGCGUAAAGAGUGGAACCAAAACAUCUCUGAUCAACUAAGGCUAAAAUAUCGACCAAGCUGUCAUAAGCCCACGACGUACUAAAAACCGCCAUAAAAAUGACCCUAGGACCCCAGACAGACAACUUCCACGAAAGCCAGGACUCAAACUGGGAUUAGAUACCCCACUAUGCCUGGCCCUAAAUCCUGAUGCUCACCCAUCACCAGAGCACCCGCCAGGGCACUACGAGCACAAACGCUUAAAACCCUAAGGACUUGGCGGUGCCCAAAUCCACCUAGAGGAGCCUGUCCUAUAAUCGAUAACCCACGAUACACCCGACCAUCUUUUGCCAGACAGCCUACAUACCGCCGUCGCCAGCCCACCUCUUGAGAGUAUAACAGUGGGCAUAACAGCCUCAACCCGCUAAAAAGACAGGUCAAGGUAUAGCCCAUGAGAUGGCAGAGAUGGGCUACAUUGAGAUUGUGUAGAGAACCUACACGAAAGGGAGCAUGAAACUGCCCCCAGAAGGCGGAUUUAGAAGUAAAGACGAGACCAUAAAGCCCUCUUUAACUCGGCCCUGGGACACGUACAUACCGCCCGUCACCCUCCUCACAAGCCACAACCCCCAUAAAACCUAUACCCACCCCACCCAAGCUAGAGAUGAGGUAAGUCGUAACAAGGUAAGUGUACCGGAAGGUGCGCUUAGCAUAC